UACAGAGGUGGCAAGCGUUGUUCGGAAUUACUGGGCGUAAAGGGCGCGUAGGCGGUUCGGUAAGUCCUGUGUGAAAUCCCUCGGCCCAACUGAGGAACUGCACGGGAGACUGCCGGGCUUGAGUUCGGGAGAGGGAAGCGGAAUUCCGGGUGUAGCGGUGAAAUGCGUAGAUAUCCGGAGGAACACCGGUGGCGAAGGCGGCUUCCUGGACCGACACUGACGCUGAGGCGCGAAAGCUAGGGGAGCAAACAGG
This 253-nucleotide ribosomal RNA is filed under the name uncultured bacterium. RNAcentral's name for it is "partial 16S ribosomal RNA". It matches the Rfam family "Bacterial small subunit ribosomal RNA", at positions 524 to 776 of the family's 1533-position model. The record is from RNAcentral.